AAUGAUCUGUAAAUGGUAGUAAUGCUUUGAAACCCUGUUUUGGUAGCGGAUACGGGUUAGGGGUGUUACAAAACAACUCCCUCAAACUCGGAAGAAAGACCCGCAAGCAAGACUGCCGAUCGUUCAUCCUCCGGAAUCGAAGAACCAGAUGCUGCAAGAAGAGCACAUAACCCUUUAAUCUUAUCAACAUAAGAUCGAACAGAUAAGCUACCUUUCUUGAGCAAAUGAAGCUCAUGCCGGAGUUGAGAUUGCUUAGUGCUCGUGUCAACCGCAAACAAGCUAGUGGCCAAGAUCCAUACAUCACUCGCAUUUCGAACGUCCGUGAAGGAAGACAAAAACGACGGAUGAAUAGUGGAAAUCAACCAUGAAGUUAGAAGAUUAUCUUGUUGCAUGAAAAUCGAGGCAACCGGAUUUGAU
RNAcentral lists this long non-coding RNA (417 nucleotides) under Gossypium barbadense (sea-island cotton). Its description in RNAcentral is "long non-coding RNA (GBAR_LNC004651)". The record is from RNAcentral. Lineage: Eukaryota; Viridiplantae; Streptophyta; Magnoliopsida; Malvales; Malvaceae.